Non-coding RNA from Chelonoidis abingdonii (Abingdon island giant tortoise), 642 nucleotides. NCBI's taxonomy places the organism in Eukaryota, Metazoa, Chordata, Testudines, Testudinidae. The record is from RefSeq and is a predicted model, not a curated record.
CAGGCGGGGGGAUGGAAAACUGUUGCUGUGAAUCCCUCUCAGCACAUGGGGAGCGAGGGGAGUGGACGGAGGUUCGAUCCUCUGGCUGCAAUGAGCCCUUGAAAAGGAGUCUGGCUGCCUCCUUCCUGAGCCACGUUUCUAGUAGAGUGUGUUAAUCCGGAGUCACUGCAAGGCAGAACAGGGAGUGACUCCAGAUUAACAUGGGGGCAGAUAAGAUCAGGGCAUGUCCCGGUGGGGAGGGGAUUUCAGUUGUUGCCAAAGGGGGGAAAGUGACUCAGUUUCUCUCCGUCUCUUUCUCUGCUCAGGAUAUUGGGGUUGAGCUUCCUGGGUCAGACGCUGCUGCCCCGACAGUGGUCUCGGGCUCCAGGCUGAACAGCUGCUGCUCCCCCAGCGGGAUCUGGGCUGGGGAGUGACCGUGAGUAAAGUGCUCUCUGUGCCCAGCCAAGAGUCAAGAACAUCCAUCUGCGAGGAAAGAGCCAGGGGGAAUUGUGAUGUGAUGUGACUGUCCUGUUCUGACACAUCCCCUUCUUGCCCUGACAGGCUGCAGUGUCACGUCCCAUCCUUCCAGGGACGGGAAAUGGCUGCCGUGGGGCCAGCCCAGGGGCCGGUGACUUUCGAGGAGGUGGCUGUGUAUUUCACCAG